RNAcentral lists this ribosomal RNA (209 nucleotides) under Vibrio parahaemolyticus. RNAcentral describes it as "partial 23S ribosomal RNA". It matches the Rfam family "Bacterial large subunit ribosomal RNA", at positions 1 to 220 of the family's 2925-position model. Lineage: Bacteria; Pseudomonadati; Pseudomonadota; Gammaproteobacteria; Vibrionales; Vibrionaceae. The record is from RNAcentral.
GACUAAGCGUACACGGUGGAUGCCUUGGCAGUCAGAGGCGAUGAAAGACGUAGUAACUUGCGAUAAGCCCAGAUUAGGUAGUAACAACCAUUUGAGUCUGGGAUUUCUGAAUGGGGAAACCCACGUGCAUAAGCACGUAUCCUUACCUGAAUACAUAGGGUAAGGAGGCGAACCGGGGGAACUGAAACAUCUAAGUACCCCGAGGAAAA